This 170-nucleotide ribosomal RNA is filed under the name uncultured bacterium. RNAcentral describes it as "partial 16S ribosomal RNA". It matches the Rfam family "Bacterial small subunit ribosomal RNA", at positions 338 to 524 of the family's 1533-position model. The record is from RNAcentral.
CCUACGGGAGGCAGCAGUAAGGAAUAUUGCACAAUGGACGAAAGUCUGAUGCAGCAACGCCGCGUGUCCGAAGAAGGCCUUCGGGUUGUAAAGGCCUUUUCUGGUUGAAGAGAACGGACAGUAACCCAGGAAUAAGUGUCGGCUAACUACGUGCCAGCAGCCGCGGUAAU